ACGAACGCUGGCGGCAGGCCUAACACAUGCAAGUCGAGCGCACCUUCGGGUGAGCGGCGGACGGGUUAGUAACGCGUGGGAACGUACCCUUUUCUACGGAAUAGCCUUUGGAAACGAAGAGUAAUACCGUAUACGCCCUUUGGGGGAAAGAUUUAUCGGAGAAGGAUCGGCCCGCGUUAGAUUAGAUAGUUGGUGGGGUAACGGCCUACCAAGUCUACGAUCUAUAGCUGGUUUUAGAGGAUGAUCAGCAACACUGGGACUGAGACACGGCCCAGACUCCUACGGGAGGCAGCAGUGGGGAAUCUUAGACAAUGGGCGCAAGCCUGAUCUAGCCAUGCCGCGUGAGUGAUGAAGGCCUUAGGGUCGUAAAGCUCUUUCGCCUGUGAUGAUAAUGACAGUAGCAGGUAAAGAAACCCCGGCUAACUCCGUGCCAGCAGCCGCGGUAAUACGGAGGGGGUUAGCGUUGUUCGGAAUUACUGGGCGUAAAGCGCACGUAGGCGGAUUGGAAAGUUGGGGGUGAAAUCCCGGGGCUCAACCCCGGAACUGCCUCCAAAACUAUCAGUCUAGAGUUCGAGAGAGGUGAGUGGAAUUCCAAGUGUAGAGGUGAAAUUCGUAGAUAUUUGGAGGAACACCAGUGGCGAAGGCGGCUCACUGGCUCGAUACUGACGCCUGA
Molecule: ribosomal RNA, 673 nt
Filed under: alpha proteobacterium IMCC15056
Lineage: Bacteria; Pseudomonadati; Pseudomonadota; Alphaproteobacteria
Description: bacterial SSU rRNA
Rfam family: Bacterial small subunit ribosomal RNA
Source: RNAcentral